RNAcentral lists this ribosomal RNA (121 nucleotides) under Saccharomyces eubayanus. RNAcentral's name for it is "RDN5". Lineage: Eukaryota; Fungi; Ascomycota; Saccharomycetes; Saccharomycetales; Saccharomycetaceae. The record is from RNAcentral.
UCCUCACUGGAAUCCAUCGAUGAACCACUAUUCGACCUGUUCCUCCAACGCUUGAUCUUUGAAAGCGACUUUGAAAGACGGUGAUGCCUGGGAGAUAGUUUUUCCAGUUUAGAUAAGUUAU